CCUACGGGGGGCUGCAGUGGGGAAUAUUGGACAAUGGGGGCAACCCUGAUCCAGCCAUGCCGCGUGUGUGAAGAAGGCCCUCGGGUUGUAAAGCACUUUCAGUGAGGAAGAACGCCUGGUGGUUAAUACCCAUCAGGAAAGACAUCACUCACAGAAGAAGCACCGGCUAACUCCGUGCCAGCAGCCGCGGUAAUACGGAGGGUGCGAGCGUUAAUCGGAAUUACUGGGCGUAAAGCGCGCGUAGGUGGCUUGAUAAGCCGGUUGUGAAAGCCCCGGGCUCAACCUGAGAACGGCAUCCGGAACUGUCAAGCUAGAGUGCAGGAGAGGAAGGUAGAAUUCCCGGUGUAGCGGUGAAAUGCGUAGAGAUCGGGAGGAAUACCAGUGGCGAAGGCGGCCUUCUGGACUGACACUGACACUGAGGUGCGAAAGCGUGGGUAGCAAACAGGAUUAGAUACCCGGGUAGUC
Molecule: ribosomal RNA, 465 nt
Filed under: Vreelandella stevensii
Lineage: Bacteria; Pseudomonadati; Pseudomonadota; Gammaproteobacteria; Oceanospirillales; Halomonadaceae
Description: partial 16S ribosomal RNA
Rfam family: Bacterial small subunit ribosomal RNA
Source: RNAcentral